AUUGAACGCUGGCGGCAGGCCUAACACAUGCAAGUCGAACGGUAACAGGAAGAAGCUUGCUUCUUUGCUGACGAGUGGCGGACGGGUGAGUAAUGUCUGGGAAACUGCCUGAUGGAGGGGGAUAACUACUGGAAACGGUAGCUAAUACCGCAUAACGUCGCAAGACCAAAGAGGGGGACCUUCGGGCCUCUUGCCAUCGGAUGUUCCCAGAUGGGAUUAGCUAGUAGGUGGGGUAACGGCUCACCUAGGCGACGAUCCCUAGCUGGUCUGAGAGGAUGACCGGCCACACUGGAACUGAGACACGGUCCAGACUCCUACGGGAGGCAGCAGUGGGGAAUAUUGCACAAUGGGCGCAAGCCUGAUGCAGCCAUGCCGCGUGUAUGAAGAAGGCCUUCGGGUUGUAAAGUACUUUCAGCGGGGAGGAAGGGAGUAAAGUUAAUACCUUUGCUCAUUGACGUUACCCGCAGAAGAAGCACCGGCUAACUCCGUG
RNAcentral lists this ribosomal RNA (490 nucleotides) under uncultured bacterium. RNAcentral describes it as "partial 16S ribosomal RNA". It matches the Rfam family "Bacterial small subunit ribosomal RNA", at positions 30 to 507 of the family's 1533-position model. The record is from RNAcentral.